GGAUAUAGCUCAGUGGAAAAGCACAUGCUUAGCAAGUACGAGGUCCUGGGUUCAAUCCCCAGUACCUCCA
This 70-nucleotide transfer RNA is filed under the name Camelus ferus (Wild Bactrian camel). It matches the Rfam family "tRNA". Rfam says of the family: Transfer RNA (tRNA) molecules are approximately 80 nucleotides in length. Their secondary structure includes four short double-helical elements and three loops (D, anti-codon, and T loops). Lineage: Eukaryota; Metazoa; Chordata; Mammalia; Artiodactyla; Camelidae. The record is from Rfam by way of RNAcentral.